UUUGCUUCCUAACCCGUUGCCGGGUUGGAGAUUCCACCUCCGAAGUUUUCUUUCUGACUUUUGAUUUUACAUUCCUAGUACAGUGGAGAAGCCCAGGCGGCCUAGAAUCCAGUGUCGUCCGUGAGUGCUUGGCUGGUGGUCAAGUGCAUCUUCCAGCCUGAGACCGCGUGGACUCGCUCAUCGUGAGGGCGAGAGGAGGAUAAGCCCAUUGGGCUGUCGGCUGAGAGUGAGGUGCGGGACCAUCCACAAUAUUGUUUGAACAUCUGAAGACAUGGGGGACUUGCCAUCUGAUAUCUGAUAACAGACUUCCUGUAAAGCAGGACUGGUAGUUUCCUGAUAACAAAUUCUUCAAUAUGAAGAUAUGGAUAAAGCAUUUGGCUGCCAAUAAUGAACUGCACCAAAGUCACCAAUUCAAACCAUGCCCUGGUAAAUAGUAUCAUCAGUGAUGAUGAUGAUGAUGAUGAUGAUGAUAAUGUCACAUGUUAAAAAUGUCAUAUAGAUUUUAGCAUCUUGAGGACCUGAUACUCUGUAACAGUGGUCCCUAACCUUUUUGGCACCAGGGACCACUUUCAUGGAAGACAGUUUUUCCGUGGACCAGGAGAGGGGGUGGUUUUGGGAUUAUUCAAGCACAUUACAUGUAGUGUGCAUUUUAUUUCUAUUAUUAUUAUAUUGUAAUAAUAUAUUUUAUUAUAAUAUAAAAUAAGUAUACAACUCAUCAUAAUGUAGAAUCAGUGGAAGCCCUGAGCUUGUUUUCCUGCAACUAGACUGUCCCAUCUAGGGGUGAUGGGAGACAGUGACAGAUCAUCAGGUGUUAGAUUCUCAUAAGGAGCGUGAAACCUAGAUCCCUCACAUGAGCAGUUCACAAUAGAGUUCGUUCCUGAGAGAACCUAAUGCCGCCGCUGAUCUGACAGGAGGCAGAGCUCAGGCGGUAAUGCGAGCAAUGGGGAUCGGCUGUAAAUAUAGAUGAUGCUUUGCUCACUUGCCCACUGCUAACCUCCUUAUGUGUGACCUGGUUCCUAACAGGCCACUUACUGGGGGUUGGGGACACCUGCUCUAUAAGAUAUCCUUCUAGAAUGAUAUAGUACUAAGCUGAUGCUCAAGAGAAAUUUUGAACUAAAUGUGUAAAUUCGGCUACCUAUAUAAACAAGAACUUCCUAAAUCAUUCUGUUCCAUAGCAAAACACAACCACAUAAGCCAGUUCUUCACAUCUAGGCACCACAGUGUUUGUUAGAUAUAGCUGUGUCCUUUACAACUGGUAGCAUGGAAAGAAAGAGAAGUCUGCAAAGAUUGAACAAACAGCAUGCACUGUGGUAUCCUUUAUUUAAAAAUUGUGAGCUGACUACAGUUGUAGUGUUCUCAUUUACCAUUCUGAUGGCAUAAUAAACCAAGAGAACAUUAACACAAUUCCAAGAAGCCAUUAACCUGUAACACACAUAUACGCCACACAUGCACACACACAACAUACACGCACACAAAGGUUAUAUUCUGAACACAAAAGUGAUAGAAAAAAGCUUUGAAUGCACUAAAUCAAAUAAAAACCCUUUAUUAUAAUAAACUGUGGCAAUACUGUGGCUAUUAUGAAAAAUAUUGUAACUAUUUUAAAAGCAAAAGGAAAAAUACUGGCAGUUUGAAACUAGCAGCAAAAAGCAGAUAAAAAUAGAAUGGAAGAUAACAUAAGACUAAUAUCAAAAUUCUAAUGUUGAUACUGUGUAGGAUUGCACUGAAGUAAUUUUAAAUUGGUUCUUAAGGAACUCUUAAAAAGUCCCUUAAAAAUAUUAAAUUGUUGCACCUUACAAACAGUGGAAAAGAAAAAAAAGUAUUUGGAAUGUUACACACACACACAGAGGAAAUGUAUUAGGUCUAUCAUCAAUUAUGGUCUUUGUUUAUGACCUUCAAAAAGUUUUAUAAAGAAAAAAUUUAAGUGCCAAUGUAGUGAAAGAAAGUUAAAAAUUCCUAAAGACGCAAGUCUGAGUGCAUUUACCAGGUCUAAGAAUAUAUUUAAAGGUUGGGGGCAAGGCAUGAUUGAUGCACAUU
Long non-coding RNA from Pan troglodytes (chimpanzee), 2034 nucleotides. RefSeq lists it as uncharacterized. The transcript has 2 exons. The record is from RefSeq and is a predicted model, not a curated record. NCBI's taxonomy places the organism in Eukaryota, Metazoa, Chordata, Mammalia, Primates, Hominidae.